CUACGGAGGUGGAAGCUGUGUGUGAGCUGCGCCCCGCAGCCCGCUCUCCCGCUCCAUUCUUCCCGCAGCCCCCCCUGCUCCAACCAGGUGACUGGGGGCUCAGCGGACCCGCCCUGCCGCCCGGAAUGGAGCGGGUCCCCAUGGAGCCCAAACUCCCUGCUCCACCUCUCUUCCCGCUGCCGCCGCCAAGCCGCUCCGAGCCCGAGGGAGAUGGCAACCCCCAUCCUUGUGCACGCCGUUGGACAGACUCCGCGCCGGAGCCCCGUCUGCCCUGGGCUGCCAGAGGUCUCCACAUCCUCCUCCUCCCUACUCUACCUGAGCUUCUUCCUCAUCUGCGGGACCCUGUGCCAAGGAACCUACCCAAAUCCAGGCCUGCUCCCUGAAACAUUGGCAAGAAACUGGAAAAAGAGGCUAAUAUGGAGAGGGAAGAAGUUUGGCAAGAUCUUUGGAGAGAAAAAGGACAGAGCUGAGCAAAUCUGCCCGCCAAAAUAUCACCCCUUUUCCAUGCUCCAUUCACAACCACCAGCCCAUUUUUCCACAUGACAAUCCUCUGCAGUCCAGAAGCUUGAAAAUUACAAGCCCAAGAUUCAAGACACAUGUUUCUUGUCCAGAGUCCUGCCUGUCUAGAAACAAAGAUAAAUCAGACCUCAGAGAAUCCGUCAAGCACUAUAUCCACUGGGCCCCCUAACCAGACUAGAAGUGCCCCAGUACAUUCUGAAGGGACACCUAUCACCUAUGUCCCCUGUGUGAGGUGAGGUGAUUUUGGAUGGAGUGACAACGACCCAGUGUCAGCAACCCUUCAUCUCUGGGCGUGUCUAUGGGGUUCUGCCAAACUUACCUCCACUGCAUCUCAGACUGAAGGUUCAGGGAGCUGCAGAUGGGCUCUGCCUGUGCUCUGGCACCGUCUGGUGUCCAUGCGCUCUAACAUUAACUCUCAGCUCUUCCGCCAGUUCCCUCAGUAGCCCUCUGGGCUGCACUGGCCUUGGACACCUGCCAGCUUGAUUUUCUUCCUCCUCUCCCUCUCAGUGCACUGAAGUGCCCUAUAGACCAGGGUAUUUCUCAAAGUCUCCUAGAGCGCUCACCACAACCCAAUACAGUAAAACUUGUUGCCUCCCCACCGUUGGGUCCUGAGAGCCCUCUUAUAUCAAUCCCCCUGCCUCAGUUCAUGAUACUGCCUUUAGGUCUGCUUCCUGCAAUAGAGGUAAGAUACAUGGGAAAAAAAGGCUCAAUGGACAGAAAAGAAGGAAGUUUAUGGAGAUGUCUUGAGAGAAAAUUCACAGUGAUUUGCAUAGCUGCCAACCAAAAUAUUACAACUUUUACAUGCUACAUUUAUGAAUAACAUCCCUUAUUUGUACAUGAUACACUCACAGAGGCCUUAGGCUUGAAACUACAAGCCCAAGAUUCAAGACAGAUGUUUCUGGGUCCUGAGUUGUGCCUCUCCUGAAACAAGGGAAGUCUGGCCCCAGAGAACCUAUCAAACUCUCUGGCCCUUGGGCCACAUGACCAGGCUGGAAAUACCCAUCAGAUUUUGAAGCCACAGGCAUGUCCCCACACUGAGGUGAGAAAAUUCUGGGCCAGAGAGUCAGAGGCACCCUGUAACCAAACCCUACAACUCUGGGCACAUCCUGAGUGUUCCACCAACUCAUCUUCAACCACAUCUCUAAGCUGGAGGUGUGUCCAGGAAGCUGCAGGUAUACGUUUCUGCUGCUCUGGCACCAUCUGGCGGCCAUCAGCUCUAACAUCAACUCUCAGCCCUUCAUUCUGUUUUCCCUCAGCUGUUCCCUGGGGCUGUUCUGGCUUUAGAUCUCUGCCAGCUUGAUGUUCUUUCUCUCAUCCUCUAAGCUUAAUGAAGUGCCCUACAGACUGGGCCGUUUCUCUUUCAAAGUCUACCAGAGCACUCAUGCCAACCUACCCUAUCAAUACAUUAAAACCCUCUGCUUCC
Molecule: long non-coding RNA, 1942 nt
Filed under: Sus scrofa (pig)
Lineage: Eukaryota; Metazoa; Chordata; Mammalia; Artiodactyla; Suidae
Description: lncRNA (ENSSSCG00035078193.1)
Source: RNAcentral